Molecule: ribosomal RNA, 313 nt
Filed under: uncultured Chloroflexota bacterium
Lineage: Bacteria; Bacillati; Chloroflexota
Description: bacterial SSU rRNA
Rfam family: Bacterial small subunit ribosomal RNA
Source: RNAcentral
GAUAAACGCUGGCGGCGUGCAUGAGACAUGCAAGUCGAACGAACGAGCUUGCUCGUUAGUGGCGAACGGCUGAGUAACGCGUAGGUGACCUGCCCCGAAGUGGGGGAUAACUGCCCGAAAGGGUGGCUAAUACCGCAUGUGGCGACACUUUCAUUGGUGUCAUCAAAGCCGCGAGGCGCUUCGGGAGGGGCCUGCGUCCGAUUAGCUCGUUGGUGGGGUAAUGGCUCACCAAGGCGACGAUCGGUAGGUGGUCUGAGAGGACGAUCACCCAGACCUGGGACUGAGACACGGCCCAGACUCCUACGGGAGGCUG